RNAcentral lists this ribosomal RNA (444 nucleotides) under uncultured bacterium. RNAcentral describes it as "SSU rRNA". It matches the Rfam family "Bacterial small subunit ribosomal RNA", at positions 26 to 518 of the family's 1533-position model. The record is from RNAcentral.
AGAACGAACGCUGGCGGCAGGCUUAACACAUGCAAGUCGAGCGCCCCGCAAGGGGAGCGGCAGACGGGUGAGUAACGCGUGGGAAUCUACCCAAUUCUACGGAAUAACACAGGGAAACUUGUGCUAAUACCGUAUACGCCCUACGGGGGAAAGAUUUAUCGGAGUUGGAUGAGCCCGCGUUGGAUUAGCUAGUUGGUGGGGUAAUGGCCUACCAAGGCGACGAUCCAUAGCUGGUCUGAGAGGAUGAUCAGCCACACUGGGACUGAGACACGGCCCAGACUCCUACGGGAGGCAGCAGUGGGGAAUAUUGGACAAUGGGCGAAAGCCUGAUCCAGCCAUGCCGCGUGAGUGAUGAAGGCCUUAGGGUUGUAAAGCUCUUUCAGUGGGGAAGAUAAUGACGGUACCCACAGAAGAAGCCCCGGCUAACUUCGUGCCAGCAGCCGC